RNAcentral lists this ribosomal RNA (451 nucleotides) under uncultured prokaryote. Its description in RNAcentral is "partial 16S ribosomal RNA". The record is from RNAcentral.
CCCUACGGGGUGCUGACCGACACAAGCGCCGAGAGUUGGGACACCAAAACGAGUUGCGGCGCGACUGUGUUGGCUACCCUUAAGGUUCUGAGCGAGUAUCAGGGAGACAAGGAAGUGGCCCAGCUCGCUGAUGCGGCCAUAUCAGCCAUACAAGGCGAACUUCUGGUUUUAGCCGAUGAUUGGCAGGUGGUCCUGUCCAGCGUGGACAGCCAUUCGGUGGAGCGGCUGGAGUCGCACCGCGAAGGGGCGGUACCCUUCAAAUUUACGAUUAUUGACACCAAGGAGUGAUGACAGAUGCCUUUAAUUCCAAGCGAUGGCGUGGAUUUUUUACUCAAAGUGAAUACCGGAACGACGGAGACGCCGGUCUGGACAGUGAUCGGCGGGCAGCGGGGCGCAACUCUCAGCCUGACGGCCGAGCAGAUCGACGCCUCCAACAAACAGUCGGGAGGGC